RNAcentral lists this ribosomal RNA (403 nucleotides) under uncultured bacterium. RNAcentral describes it as "bacterial SSU rRNA". It matches the Rfam family "Bacterial small subunit ribosomal RNA", at positions 8 to 414 of the family's 1533-position model. The record is from RNAcentral.
AGAGUUUGAUCCUGGCUCAGGAUGAACGCUAGCGGCAGGCCUAAUACAUGCAAGCUGAACGGUAAAUAUUGUAGCAAUACGAUAUGAGAGUAGCGUAAGGGUGCGUAACACGUAUGCAAUCUGCCCUGUACAGGAGGAUAGCUCGGGGAAACCCGGAUUAAUACUCCGUAGUAUUAUUGAGAGGCAUCUUUUGAUAAUUAAAGUCGCAAGACGGUACAGGAUGAGCAUGCGCCUGAUUAGCUAGUUGGUGGUGUAACGGACCACCAAGGCGAUGAUCAGUAGGGGAACUGAGAGGUUGAUCCCCCACCUGGCACUGAGAUACGGGCCGACUCCUACGGGAGGCAGCAGUAGGGAAUAUUGGUCAUGGGUGCAGCCUGAACCAGCCUGCCGCGUCCGGAGACGG